ACUCCUACGGGAGGCAGCAGUGGGGAAUAUUGCGCAAUGGGCGAAAGCCUGACGCAGCGACGCCGCGUGAGGGAUGAAGGCCUUCGGGUUGUAAACCUCUUUCAGCAGGGAAGAAGCGCAAGUGACGGUACCUGCAGAAGAAGCACCGGCUAACUACGUGCCAGCAGCCGCGGUAAUACGUAGGGCGCAAGCGUUAUCCGGAA
RNAcentral lists this ribosomal RNA (203 nucleotides) under uncultured bacterium. RNAcentral describes it as "partial 16S ribosomal RNA". It matches the Rfam family "Bacterial small subunit ribosomal RNA", at positions 335 to 550 of the family's 1533-position model. The record is from RNAcentral.